CAUUUGUUCUCUAAAUAAGGACUUGUAUGAAUGGCCACACGAGGGUUUCACUGUCUCUUACUUCCAAUCAGUGAAAUUGACCUCCCCGUGAAGAGGCGGGGAUAAACUAACAAGACGAGAAGACCCUAUGGAGCUUUAACUAACCAAUUUAAAGAAAACAUAAUAAACCACUCAGGGAAUAACAAUAUUUUCUUAUAAGUUGGCAGUUUCGGUUGGGGCGACCUCGGAGAAUAAAAAAUCCUCCGAGCGAUUUUAAAGACUAGACCUACAAGUCAACUCACUUAAUCGCUUAUUGAUCCAAAAAGCUUGAUCAACGGAACAAGUUACCCUAGGGAUAACAGCGCA
RNAcentral lists this ribosomal RNA (345 nucleotides) under Tragelaphus strepsiceros (greater kudu). RNAcentral describes it as "partial 16S ribosomal RNA". It matches the Rfam family "Bacterial large subunit ribosomal RNA", at positions 1966 to 2484 of the family's 2925-position model. The record is from RNAcentral. Lineage: Eukaryota; Metazoa; Chordata; Mammalia; Artiodactyla; Bovidae.